GUGAUCAGGGACACCAGCCUAGCAACAGAACCCCCACUGCCCUGCCCCCUCCAGCAAACAUACUUCCAAGCUCCUGUUUCCCAAGACCACAUUCUCUAAGCUGUAGCCUCAAGCUACCUAACAGAGUGAUUCAGAAAUUCCCUCUCUUGCCCUAUCCUUCAGCUGCAGGUCUCACAUCCUCUCUGCCGGGUCUCAGCCUGAUAACCUGGGAGUGUGAAAACAAACGGAGAUAAAAUAAAUUAAAUUUUUGUUUUCAGAGAAGAAAUAAAUUUUCAUUUGAAAUGACCUGAAAAUACACUGCAUAAUUUAGGCAGGCACACAAAUGACCAGCAAAGCAAGCUUGCAAAGGCCCCACUGCCUUUGUAUUUGGCAUCACGGGACUGGCUCAGAGUUACAGACUCAGACCAACAGAAAUAUUUUUCACCCCAUGUAGCAAAUACAUCCAGACUGUGCAGAGGCUCCUGGCUCCUGUCUGGCAGCCCACUACGCAGAGGCAUGAGAAGCUGAGCUGGCCGAAGCCGGAGACGCCCAUCCUGGGUGGGAAGAGGGCUGCCAAGUCUGAUGGAGACACAGUGACCAGGGUAAAGUGCCCAAGCUCUCUGUCAAAGGGAAUCACAUAAAGAUCCUAGCAACUCCCUCAUCCCAAGAUGGUGUGCAGGGAACAAAAAAAAGAAUUUACCCUGCCAAGAUACCCCCAUGCCACUUUUCUUGGGAAAUCCAGAAACUUGGCCUUCCCAAAUCCACAGCCACUUACAGACUCUGAAUUCUUCCUGACCACGGAGGUGAGGUAUGUAUGCACUUAACAUAUGCCUGACAUAUGGUAAGUACUUAACAAAAGAUAGCAAUUAAAAUCAUUGUUGCUGCUGUUAUUAUUUCCCCAGACAUACACUCCUCUCUUCCCAGAUGUCUUAUCCACCUCCUCUCCAAUCCCUGGAAAAAAGAGUCAAGGUUAACUGCCCCUCUAGUACAUUCAGGCUCUUCAAAGCCAAGCUCCAAGCCGAAACUCGCAGCAAGCAAUGCUUCCAGGACUGUGGAACUCAGCCCAGAGUACACCAUGGAGACCCUCGUCGCAGAGGCGAUGAGAAUGCCCUGGGUAUGGCUUCACAAGCACCAGCUGAGGAUCAAACGACCACCAGGACCUCUUACCUGCCCUUAUUUUCUGAAAGGGUGAACCUGUGUAAGCCCAAGGUCAACAGCAUCAAAUGUGAGACACACACACUUCCUCUACUGAGCAGAGGAAAAUAUUCAGGUACAAAGGAGACACUGAGUCAUUCCCAGGUAAGUAAUGUCACUGGCAUGUGGCAAAAAGGCCAGCGCCAUGGGGGAGACGUGACUCGGCUCCAGCCUGGCCCCAUGAUCUCUCUACGUGUUUUCACAGGUCAGUCCAGCUGCCCGUGA
RNAcentral lists this long non-coding RNA (1398 nucleotides) under Bos grunniens (domestic yak). Its description in RNAcentral is "lncRNA (ENSBGRG00000004073.1)". Lineage: Eukaryota; Metazoa; Chordata; Mammalia; Artiodactyla; Bovidae. The record is from RNAcentral.